This 31-nucleotide transfer RNA is filed under the name Drosophila unipunctata. RNAcentral's name for it is "partial tRNA-Met". Lineage: Eukaryota; Metazoa; Arthropoda; Insecta; Diptera; Drosophilidae. The record is from RNAcentral.
ACUUAUAAAGGUUAUAGUCCUUUUCUUUUUA